Molecule: ribosomal RNA, 292 nt
Filed under: uncultured bacterium
Lineage: Bacteria
Description: partial 16S ribosomal RNA
Rfam family: Archaeal small subunit ribosomal RNA
Source: RNAcentral
GUGCCAGCGCCGCGGUAAUACCGGCAGCCCGAGUGAUGGCCGAUCUUAUUUGGCCUAAAGCGUCCGUAGCUGGCCGCACAAGUCCGUCGGGAAAUCCGCCCGCUCAACGGGCGGCCGUCCGGCGGAACCUGUGUGGCCUGGGACCGGGAGGCCUGAGGGGUACGUCCGGGGUAGGAGUGAAAUCCCGUAAUCCUGGACGGACCGCCGAUGGCGAAAGCACGUCGCGAAGACGGAUCCGACAGUGAGGGACGAAAGCUAGGGUCUCGAACCGGAUUAGAAACCCCAGUAGUCC